Molecule: long non-coding RNA, 223 nt
Organism: Mauremys reevesii (Reeves's turtle)
Lineage: Eukaryota; Metazoa; Chordata; Testudines; Geoemydidae
Exons: 3
Source: RefSeq, a predicted model, not a curated record
CUUGGUGGCAGAGCCGAGCUGAAGCCUGAAGAGCUCCAGAUGGACAUUUGCAGACACCUUGCCAAAGAAAAUGCAGAACUGCUGGAGAACUUGUAUAGCACAACCAUCGCGUCCUUCAGUAGCAGCUGGGAAGGGAUCCGGGCAGGUGCCGCCAACUUAGCUGGCAUCAUCCUGGAACACACAGACACUCAGCGUAUGAAAUGGCUGGACCUGGAACAUCUGC